Ipomoea nil (Japanese morning glory) is the source of this 3048-nucleotide RNA transcript. It is a transcript of the gene named pentatricopeptide repeat-containing protein At5g41170, mitochondrial-like, with no coding region annotated. NCBI's taxonomy places the organism in Eukaryota, Viridiplantae, Streptophyta, Magnoliopsida, Solanales, Convolvulaceae. The transcript is spliced from 4 exons. The record is from RefSeq and is a predicted model, not a curated record.
UAGGGAUUCAGGGAGGGUUUGUCUAAACUCUAAAAGCGCGGAUUUUUCUCCUUUACCGCUUAUCUCACUCUACGAACACAAAAACGAUGUCAAUUGAAGCUCCGGAGCUGGGCACUGCCACUUCUAACUGGUAGAAAGCUAACAGUCCACCGGGGAAGAGCAGCUCGAAGUGGCGGAGAAUGAUUUGGGUAUGAUGUGAUGUGGGCUGCUAUGGGGAGGCCUGUUCUGUUGUGCAAUCACAAUAAUUUCUCUAUAGCUCAAGGUUUUGCUUUAUGGGUCUGUCUAUAUUUCCAAAAAGAUCCUCUUUUUAUUUCAUAUUUGUGGGGUUGCGAGAAUCGGGUGUUUUCGGAAGGAAGAAAAUCGUUGUAGAAAGAGGCUAUUGUCGAAAUUUUGGUGGUGUUUCGUCCGCUUUAGUAUUGGAUGAUUCUGAUUCUUGUUCAAAUGGUGAAAGCAGUGGGGAAUAUGAGCCAAUUGUUCCGAUUAUUUCGAGAAAAAGACUGCAUAGGUGCAAGGAGCUGGGACUAUGUUCUGUUGUUGUGAGGGUGUACAAAUCAUUGAGCUGGGAGGCAGCUAGAGAGAUUAGUUUUGAAAGAGCAAUGGAAAGGUAUGGGCUUUUCCAAUCGAUCACCGCCUUUAAGAUGCUUGUGCAUAUUUUUGCAUAUGUUGGAAUGCGUAUGGAAAUGUAUGCCUUGCUUAAAGAUAUUGUUUUCUAUUUCCAGAAGGCUGAGUUUGAAUUAGAUAAGCUACUCCCGCAUUUGCUGAAUUCAUCCACUGAUGCAAAAAUAUCAGCUUCGGUGGUUGAUGUUCUUAUCAAGGUUUUUGCUGCGAAUAAAAUGCUUGAAAAUGGAGUCAAUGCAUAUUUCCAUGCUCGGAAACUUGGGCUUAAAUUAAGUAAUUUCUCGUGCAACUUCUUACUGAAGUGCUUAGCAGAAGCGAGCAGGAGGGAACUUCUUCAAUCUUUGUUUGAAGCGAUGAAGCAGUUUGGACCGUCACCCACUGUUUAUACAUACACGAUUAUGGUGAGCUUCUAUUGCACCCAGCAUAAGGUGGAUAUAGAAGAAGUGGCCAAUAUUAUGGAGGAAAUGAUUACUAGAGGGAUUAGCCCAUCUGUUGUAACAUAUAGUGUUUAUAUCCAUGGACUAUGUAGAGCUGGUUGUGUUGGCUCUGCUUUGAAUUUCAUUCGAGACUUGAGGCAUAAAAAUCAACUACUAAACUCUUAUUGCUAUAAUGCUGUUAUUCAUGGAUUCUGUGAAAAGGGUGAAGUAGUUGAAGCUAUGAAUCUUUUUGAAGAAAUGAAGAGUUGCGGAGUCCCACCAGAUGUAUACAGCUAUAGUAUUUUGAUUGAUGGGUUUUCCAAAUGCGGGAAUGUUGAGAAAGGUCUUUGUUUAAUAGAGGAGAUGGAAGCUCGUAACAUAAAACCAUCCCUUGUUAGCUAUAGUUCACUCUUAAACGGUCUUUGCAGAACGGGACGGAAGGAAAAAUCAAUUAAUCUGUUUUAUAAGUUAGAGGAAUCUGGAUAUAAGCAUGACCGGGGUGCUUACCACAUCUUAAUAAAUGGACUUUGCUUGCAGGGUGAUUUGGUCUCCGCUCAUAAGCUCUUGAAAGAGAUGAUCGGCAAUAACUUGACCCCCAAUAUCUUUACCCUCAAUUCUAUUAUUAAUGGCUACUGUAGUGAAGGGCAUAUAAUGGAAGCUUUGCAGCUCAUUGAUGAGACAAGAGGCCAAGGUUUUAUUCCUAAUCUGCAUACAUACAAUGCAGUAAUUAAAGGGCUGUGCAAAGAAGGUAACUCAGAGAAGGCACUGGAAGUAAUACCGUUAAUGCUUAAGAUGAAUAUAUUACCUGGUCUUGUAAGUUAUAGCACUCUUAUUAACGGUUUUGCUAAACAGUUAAACUUCCAGAAGGCCUUUCUGCUGUACAAAAGAAUGGUAAAAGUUGGGAUUAAUCCGGACACAACCCUGUAUACCAUUAUCAUUAAUAUGUUAUGCACAAUGGGCAAGGUGAACGAAGCCUAUAAACUUUUUAGGGAAAUGGGCUGUGAGGGAUUGAAUCUUGACAAUAUCUCUUACACAUCUAUUAUAGCUGGAUUUUGUAGAGUUGGAGAUAUGAACAAAGCAUUGAGAUUGUUUGAAGACAUGAAACAAAGAGAAAUCUUGCCUUCUCGUGUUACUUAUACUUGUCUAAUAGAUGGGUUUUGCAAGGUCAAUCGUAUCGAUAUGGCCAACUGGUUGCUAGAUGAGAUGAGAAGGCAGAAUUUGUCUCCCGAUAAGGUUACAUAUACUGUUCUGAUAUGUGCAUACUUCAGACUUGGACAAGUGGGUAGGGCUGAUGAACUGUUUGACCAAAUGAAGAAGGAAGGCAUUGUUUCAGACUUUCAGGUGACUCAUUCAAAGAUGAAAGGCUAAAAACUCGAAGAAGCUAGUUCAACGAUGAUGUAGCAUUUGCUAUUAAGUUCAGUUGAAUUUGGAAGGUGCUUUGUGUACUAGCUGCAAAAGCAUUACCGGGUGCAGCCCGCAUUAUAAUACCCUUGCGUGUUGAAGAUCAAGGCAUCGAACUGCGGAAACGAAAAUUCAGCCCCGAGAAGUGGUAUUGCUAUUCCACAGCUACACUGACUUGUUGAUCAAAUGAACAGUGCGUUCUGUUACAUGAACGGAUAGAUACAUCAGCAUAAAGAUGUUAACAGGUCAGUAUCUAGUUAUGCUGUGAGCUGUUGCAUACUUGCAUGGAUUUUGUAUGUAUAAUAUACUCAAAACGCUUUAUGUUAAACGAUUAUCUCGUUAAGGAAGCUCAUUAGUUAGAUGUAACAGUUAAGACUUCUCCAAUGGCCACCCAGGAAAGUGGGAAUUGAAUUUUGUGAUUGUUGAAAUAUAGAAAAUGGAAACUCUAGCAUAGCCCUAGUUGUAACGCAGCUUAUUAGUUAGACCCAUUAUAUUCCUAUAUAAGCAGGUGUAUUAUGUAUAUAACACAAUAUCAUCAUCACCAUCAUACAUCUCUUUUGGUUUUCACAUACUAAACUUUUGUGAACAUGACGGGCAGUGGUGCUUUUUUUUU